Molecule: ribosomal RNA, 379 nt
Filed under: uncultured Lactobacillus sp.
Lineage: Bacteria; Bacillati; Bacillota; Bacilli; Lactobacillales; Lactobacillaceae
Description: bacterial SSU rRNA
Rfam family: Bacterial small subunit ribosomal RNA
Source: RNAcentral
AAAACUUCUGUUNGUUGGGAGAAGAAUGGUCGGCAGAGUAACUGUUGUCGGCGUGACGGUAUCCAACCAGAAAGCCACGGCUAACUACGUGCCAGCAGCCGCGGUAAUACGUAGGUGGCAAGCGUUAUCCGGAUUUAUUGGGCGUAAAGCGAGCGCAGGCGGUUUUUUAAGUCUGAUGUGAAAGCCCUCGGCUUAACCGAGGAAGCGCAUCGGAAACUGGGAAACUUGAGUGCAGAAGAGGACAGUGGAACUCCAUGUGUAGCGGUGAAAUGCGUAGAUAUAUGGAAGAACACCAGUGGCGAAGGCGGCUGUCUGGUCUGUAACUGACGCUGAGGCUCGAAAGCAUGGGUAGCGAACAGGAUUAGAUACCCUGGUAGUC